GAUGAACGUUGGUCCGGGUGCCUAAUACAUGCAAGUCGAACGGAGUUAGUAGCAAUACUGGCUCAGUGGCGAACGGGUGAGUAACGCGUUGGUGAUCUGCCUUGAAGUGUGGAAUAACGUUUCGAAAGGAACGCUAAUACCGCAUGUGCUCUCGAUUUUCAGAAAGUUGAGAGUAAAGGAUUUAUUCGCUUCAAGAGGAGCCUGCGUCCCAUCAGCUGGUUGGUAGGGUAACGGCCUACCAAGGCUAUGACGGGUAGGGGACCUGAGAGGGUGGCCCCCCACAAUGGAACUGAAACACGGUCCAUACACCUACGGGUGGCAGCAGUAGGGAAUAUUAGAAAUGGACGAAAGUCUGAUCUAGCAACACCGCGUGUGCGAAGAAGGCCUUCGGGUCGUAAAGCACUUUUUGGAAGGAAUAGGAAGGAAUGUACUUCCAGAAUAAGUCUCGGCUAACUACGUG
This 460-nucleotide ribosomal RNA is filed under the name uncultured bacterium. RNAcentral's name for it is "bacterial SSU rRNA". It matches the Rfam family "Bacterial small subunit ribosomal RNA", at positions 28 to 507 of the family's 1533-position model. The record is from RNAcentral.